GCCUGAGUCUCAGCCGGAUGCUCCUGUCAGGUAGGAACAUCUGGAAGUCAGAGACAAUGAAAACACACAAGGCUCAAGUGUUUUGCCCCGAGCAGUGUUUACAGGAACAGGAAAGCCUGGUGAUAAACUGGUCACUUACUAGCCAGUCCAGCUAACUAUUGGAGGAGGUCAUUGAGAGGAUAUGGCCUCUGGUUGGUUGACCCUCAAGUUGGACCCAGGCGAUCAGAGAGUCCUUACCCUCUCACAGUCCUUGGAAUGUAUAUUCGGCCUACUGUCCUGGUGCUCGCAGCCUUUUGAAGGAAGGGGCCUUGAGUGAGUAAGGUGUUGUUGAGACCAUCUGGACCAAGUGUGUGACUGACCCCAGUUAAGGGGCCUCCAUAUAAACUUUCAGGAUUCCAGUGGGCGGGAAUGGAAAUCUACUCAUCUUGCAGCCGCCCAAGACAAGCCUCGUAAGAGCAUCUGCAGGGAUGGUUCGGAACAUUUAAGGCUGCUUAGAUAAUGACAAUCAGUGCUGGCCUCAAUCAUUAGAUGAUGUUGGAAGGAAGAAGCGACGGGACUACAUGUGCACAAAAGAAAGACCAUGUGAAGACACAGCAGCAAGGCAGCCACCUGCAAGACGAGGAGGGAGAGGUCUCAGGACAAACAGCCCUGCCGGCACCAUGAUCUUGAACUCCCAGCCUCCAGAACCGUGCAAAGGGCUGAUGUGAAACUGUAGCGUGAUGGUCAGCUGGAUUGGUUGGUUACAGCUUCUGCUCCAAUUGGUCCCUCAAUCAUUCCAGAUGCAGAACGGGGCG
This is a long non-coding RNA of Camelus dromedarius (Arabian camel), 794 nucleotides long. RefSeq lists it as uncharacterized. Lineage: Eukaryota; Metazoa; Chordata; Mammalia; Artiodactyla; Camelidae. The transcript has 6 exons. The record is from RefSeq and is a predicted model, not a curated record.